GACGAACGCUGGCGGCGUGCCUAAUACAUGCAAGUUGAGCGCUGAAGGUUGGUACUUGUACCAACUGGAUGAGCAGCGAACGGGUGAGUAACGCGUGGGGAAUCUGCCUUUGAGCGGGGGACAACAUUUGGAAACGAAUGCUAAUACCGCAUAAAAACUUUAAACACAAGUUUUAAGUUUGAAAGAUGCAAUUGCAUCACUCAAAGAUGAUCCCGCGUUGUAUUAGCUAGUUGGUGAGGUAAAGGCUCACCAAGGCGAUGAUACAUAGCCGACCUGAGAGGGUGGUCGGCCACAUUGGGACUGGGACACGGCCCAAGCUCCUACGGGAGGCAGCAGUAGGGAAUCUUCGGCAAUGGACGAAAGUCUGACCGAGCAACGCCGCGUGAGUGAAGAAGGUUUUCGGAUCGUAAAACUCUGUUGGUAGAGAAGAACGUUGGUGAGAGUGGAAAGCUCAUCAAGUGACGGUAACUACCCAGAAAGGGACGGCUAACUACGUG
Molecule: ribosomal RNA, 497 nt
Filed under: uncultured bacterium
Lineage: Bacteria
Description: partial 16S ribosomal RNA
Rfam family: Bacterial small subunit ribosomal RNA
Source: RNAcentral